RNAcentral lists this ribosomal RNA (464 nucleotides) under uncultured bacterium. RNAcentral's name for it is "partial 16S ribosomal RNA". It matches the Rfam family "Bacterial small subunit ribosomal RNA", at positions 338 to 795 of the family's 1533-position model. The record is from RNAcentral.
CCUACGGGUGGCUGCAGUAGGGAAUUUUCGUCACUUGGCGCAAGCCUGACCUCUCCCUUCCUCUUUCCCGAGGCAGGUCUUCGGCUCGUAAAGUUCUGUUGAAGGGGAAAAAGAGCGGAGAGAGGAAAUGAACUCCGAUUGAUAUUACCCUUCGAGGAAGUCACGGCUAACUACGUGCCAGCAGCCGCGGUAAUACGUAGGUGGCGAGCGUUAUCCGGAAUGAUUGGGCGUAAAGGGUGCGUAGGCGGCCUGCUAAGUCUGGAGUGAAAGGUACCGGCUCAACCGGUAUAGGCUCUGGAAACUGGCGGGCUAGAGAGCAGGAGAGGGCGGUGGAACUCCAUGUGUAGCGGUAAAAUGCGUAGAUAUAUGGAAGAACACCAGUGGCGAAGGCGGCCGCCUGGCCUGUUACUGACGCUGAGGCACGAAAGCGUGGGGAGCUAAUAGGAUUAGAUACCCGAGUAGUC